GAGGGUAUAGCUCAGUGGUAGAGUGCAUGCUUAACAUGCAUGAGGUCCUAGUUUCAAUCCCCAGUCCCUUCA
This 72-nucleotide transfer RNA is filed under the name Camelus bactrianus (Bactrian camel). It matches the Rfam family "tRNA". Rfam says of the family: Transfer RNA (tRNA) molecules are approximately 80 nucleotides in length. Their secondary structure includes four short double-helical elements and three loops (D, anti-codon, and T loops). Lineage: Eukaryota; Metazoa; Chordata; Mammalia; Artiodactyla; Camelidae. The record is from Rfam by way of RNAcentral. RNAcentral also lists the same sequence under 2 other names.